CAUAGUAUACUUGUCAUUGGUUUUCCAGCAGCUCGUCCCCUGCCACGUAGAACUAUGAAGGACGAGCGGGUUUCUAAAGUAACUUGAGCCUUGAUUUGAUAGGACCUUUGUGGGAGACCAGUUGGUCCAAACUAACUCCGUGUCCCUCUGACUUCAACUGUAAGAGAACUUUCCAUACCGUUCUCACUUAUUGAACCGUCAGCAGUGCUUUGUCUUUGCUGCAGCUCAUCUUCACAAACUUAUUCUAUCUAUCACGAAGAGCCACUGGAAUCGGCAGCUUAAUGUUCACAGACAUCCUGAGCAGGUGAUGCUGGGGAGAAACACAAUUUCCUCUUUGAGGCUUGGGGUUUUGAAGAGGGGAGCUCAUCAUCAGACGUUCUCGGAUCAAACAUGAAAUUCACAGUGCUGUUGGCCAAGAUCCUUUUACAUGUCUCAUCUUUGGAAGGCAUCUAAUGAACCUCCCUCUUCCUGGGUGUAUGCAUUUUGGGGCUCCUCCGUUAGCUCAUCAAGAUCUGUAUACCCAUACGCAGACAGAGGAGAAAGAAGAGAGGCAAGCGUGCCGGUAUCCUGUGUAGAUCUUGGACGAGAUACUCCAAUCCCCCGCUGCCAAGCAUUCUACAUGCGAAUGUUCAAUCCCUGGACAAUAUAAUGGACAAGCUAAAUGCACGGACUUACUUCCAGCGGGACAUCACAAACUGCUUUGUGCUAGCGUUCACUGAGACCUGGCUGGAUCCUAUGGUGCCUGACUCGGCCAUCACUCUGGCCGUUUUUUCCAUCUUCCGGCAGGACAGAACCUCCGAGUCGAGUAAGAGUAGAGGUGGAGGGGUAUGCUUGAUGGUUAACUCUCGCUGGGGCUCGUAUGUUGCUGUGCUUUCAGCACACUGCUCACCAGACCUGGAGCUGCUAUCGUUAAAAGCCCGUCCCUUUUACCUUCCUCGGGAAUUCAGCUCCGUUAAUAUCACAGCAGUCUACCGCAGGCAGACAAAACCUCCCCGAUAGAGGUCCUAUACAGAGUUAAUAAUGGACUGGAGGAUGCUCAUCCUGAGGCAGUCUCUAUUGUUGUUGGUGACUUCAAUGGUGCUAAUAAUUUGAGGAAAGUUCUGCCGAAAUAUCAUCAACAUAUUAACUUUCCUACCCGGGGUGACCAGAAUCUUGACUAUUGCUACUCGAAAUACCGAACAGCUACAAACCCCUUCUCAUACUGCUGUCGUCUGGUAGACGUUACCUGAGCAUCCGAGCACGGACUACCAGACUCACAAACAGCUUUUUCCCCCAGGCCGUAAGGCUUCUGAACCAGCAACACUAACCAACUGUAGAGUCGCCAUCACCAUGUACAUUCUGCUCCCCCACUCAUACAACUAUACUUACUACUUACGUACUACACAUAUAUGCAUAUUAUUUAGUUUAAUAUUCCUCACUCCUUCGCCCUGUAAACUGCUGCUAGCCCUUUAUUUAAAUGUAAAUUGUUUUACUAUGAUAUAUAUUACUAUGCUUUAUGGUUGUUUUUUUUAUCUUGUAUUGCCUGUCUACUGCGUAGAAGUUGCCUGCCAGGUCAUUCGAAUUUCACUGGUCUGAUGACGCUAAAUUAUUUGGUGCAUGUGACAAUAAACACUUUGAUUUGAUUUUGAUUUGACUCAAGAAUGACGAAUUUGGCUGGUUAUGUGAUCUCAUGGUUUAACACACACUUCCUCAUAAAACAUGUGUCAUCAUGAGGCUUUAAUGGGUAAUUUGUGUAGUUAAGUGACUGUUUAGUGAAUCUGACUUAAAACACGAGUACGGAAAAUGUAACAAAAGUCUGAGUUAAGGAGAAGAAUAUGAAGAUGUGUACCUAUGAUGCACAGCUGCUUAUAACAUGGCUUGAAAGCUGGCUCAUUAUAAUUAGUUUCU
Pleuronectes platessa (European plaice) is the source of this 1887-nucleotide long non-coding RNA. RefSeq lists it as uncharacterized. The transcript has 3 exons. The record is from RefSeq and is a predicted model, not a curated record. Lineage: Eukaryota; Metazoa; Chordata; Actinopteri; Pleuronectiformes; Pleuronectidae.